Molecule: transfer-messenger RNA, 389 nt
Filed under: Cyanobacteria bacterium UBA8530
Lineage: Bacteria; Bacillati; Cyanobacteriota
Also listed under: 1 other name
Rfam family: transfer-messenger RNA
About the family: Bacterial tmRNA, also known as 10Sa RNA or SsrA, is named for its dual tRNA and mRNA-like properties. Its role is to liberate the mRNA from a stalled ribosome. To accomplish this part of the tmRNA is used as a reading frame that ends in a translation stop signal.
Source: RNAcentral
GGGGAUGUCACGGUUUCGACCGGGAGCUGCGAUGGUGGGGACUGCGAGCCGAGGACGCCGACGUUACUCGUAAAACCAGCGGCAAAACAAACAAGUGCCAAAGCCAACUGCUUUGCCAUCCCGACGAUUGGUGGGAAUAGGGUAGCUAUCGCUGCCUAAAAACCCCCUAGUUUAGGGACACUCACUGCUUUCGCCGAUCGGGGCGGUGGGUAACUUUGAUCGGAUGCUCCCGGCGAUUGCUGACUAAACCGGGAAAAGACUAGCCAGCUAACGCUUCGUUCUCUGCGCCGAGGAGGGGAAUGCGGCGUGAAAUAAUUCCCAGGCUACGCUCGUAGAGGUCGCUAUGGUCGCCUUUCGGGACAGGGGUUCAAUUCCCCUCAUCUCCACCU